RNAcentral lists this ribosomal RNA (253 nucleotides) under uncultured bacterium. RNAcentral's name for it is "partial 16S ribosomal RNA". It matches the Rfam family "Bacterial small subunit ribosomal RNA", at positions 524 to 776 of the family's 1533-position model. The record is from RNAcentral.
UACGGAGGAUCCGAGCGUUAUCCGGAUUUAUUGGGUUUAAAGGGUGCGUAGGCGGCUUUAUAAGUCAGUAGUGAAAUCUCGUGGCUCAACCAUGAACGUGCUAUUGAAACUGUAGAGCUUGAGUACAGACGAGGCAGGCGGAAUGUGUUAUGUAGCGGUGAAAUGCAUAGAUAUAACACAGAACACCGAUAGCGAAGGCAGCUUGCCAGACUGUAACUGACGCUGAUGCACGAAAGCGUGGGUAGCGAACAGG